Molecule: ribosomal RNA, 406 nt
Filed under: uncultured bacterium
Lineage: Bacteria
Description: partial 16S ribosomal RNA
Rfam family: Bacterial small subunit ribosomal RNA
Source: RNAcentral
AUUGAACGCUGGCGGCAGGCCUAACACAUGCAAGUCGAACGAGUGGCGGACGGGUGAGUAAUGUCUGGGAAACUGCCCGAUGGAGGGGGAUAACUACUGGAAACGGUAGCUAAUACCGCAUACCCUCGGAUGUGCCCCGAUGGGAUUAGCUAGUCGGUGGGGUAACGGCUCACCUAGGCGCCGAUCCCUAGCUGGUCUGAGAGGAUGACCAGCGACACUGGAACUGAGACACGGUCCAGACUCCUACGGGAGGCAGCAGUGGGGAGUAGUGCACAAUGGGCGCAAGCCUGAUGCAGCCAUGCCGCGUGUAUGAAGAAGGCCUUCGGGUUGUAAAGUACUUUCAGCGAGGAGGCGUUACUCGCAGAAGAAGCACCGGCUAACUCCGGGCCAGCAGCCGCGGUAAUUC